AUUGGAAUCAAUCUAAAAACAGAAGCUUUAAAUUCUGUGCAAUAUUGUUUAUCAACAAUAUAAUAUUUUUAGAUUUUAAUUGGACUUCAUUCUAAUUUUAAACUCAAAAUUGGAGUGUUCUUGCAGAGGUGUGUGUGCAUGUGUGUUUGUGUGUGGAGUAUGAACGCAUUUACUGUAUUCAUUUUAAGCAUAAUUAUGUGUUAAACAUGUGAGUGUACUCACAUAUGUGUGUGCAUAUGUGUGCAUAUGUAUGCGCGUGUCAGUGGGUGUAUGUGUGGUGUGUGCGCCUGUCUGUCAGUCAAGCUGCAUUCAGUGACUAGGAAUAUUAUUUUACUCGUACAAAGGCCUUGCUUUGUCCUUGUGCAUGGACAUAAACCACCUUAAAAAAAUAUGCUUCACCAAAUUUCAUAAAAAUCCAUUUUUAAAAAGGCCACAUGCUCUCAGAAUGCAGCAGAACAGAACAGGUUGUUUAAUGUAACCUGGGGAAAAAACAAUGUCUGGAAAAUCGAUCAUUUGUGAACAGGCAUUUAAGUGUCUGGGAUAAUUUCUGCAUAUUGACAGUUGGGUCAAAAAUCUUCAGGGUUGUUCUAAUUGUUGGGAAGAAUAAUCUGUGCCUUAUACUCUUCUCUCUUCCAUCAGUCCGUCUCUUUCUUCACCACUAAUCAUAGAGCUUCAGUUGGAGCUGGUGCUUUGUGGGGAGGAGCCUGCAACAACAGAGAUCUGGGCACACAGAGCAGCUUUAAUUAGAUGGGGCCUCGUGCCAUGUGCCAUCACGGCAUGUGUGCAAAUGAAUGUGUGCCUGUAUGUUGUGCAGCUUUGUCUUUAUGUGGGGAUGCUUUUUUGUGUUUAUGUCUGUUUAGCUUUUCCUUUCUUUUCUGAAUUUCUUAUUAUUUGCACACUGAAUAGAAAGCGACUGAACAUUUCUUCAUUCUGGAGAAGACAUUUUUGCUAUGUUUGUGCCCAUGGACCUUAAACCUUAAUGUCCUCCCUUAGGCAUCACCCUCGAGCGUCGGCCAACUGCUUUGGCAUCAGAUAAUGUAAAUGAAGACAAACCAGUUUUUUUUGUAGUCAAACAGCCAGGAUCUUCUUUUAAUUUAAAAAUGUAUUUCGGUCAUUGCGGGGGGUGCUGUUUGAAGCCAUCACACUCCCAUAGAGCCACUCAGUGGGCAUUGCAGAUUGACCGUAGGGAUGGGCGCCAGACUGGAGAAAGGUAGACUGGAGCCAUUGCCAGUAUGAACCGGUUCAACAACUGGUGCAAUUGUUUUGUAAUUGGUGCAUCUUGCUGAUUGUUUGACAUGAAGGGUUUUUGAUAUACCCCAAGCAAAUCAACGGGUUUAGUGGACAAAGGGAGGUUUCCAAUUCGUUGAGAGGAUUUUAGGCGGGAUACAGACAACCUGGUGACAUCAUAAAAUGACAGGUCAGAACAUUUAAAGGAUGCUGAGAGCUGAAGGAUAAUUAGAAGAGCUCAAGCCAGAAGACUAACAUUUUUGUUCCAUGGAGUAAACAGUUGUUUGAUUUGUAUGACUUAGAAUAUGCUAUGUGGCAAAGAUUUUUACUCAGUUUGUUGUUGGUGAAAUAAUAAAAUUUUAAAAACUAUACAUAUAUGUUUGUUAACAUUUUUCCUAUCUGUCUUUAGGUGAGAUAUUGGCCCAUGUUUCUUGGCCUUGGGUUUAAGAGGAUGGGUAGCCUUAGGGGUUGAUUGUUAUCUUUGGUUAUCUAGCUGUAUGAGUGAUGUACAUUCUUCAUAAAGCUAGAUAACCGAAAGUAACAAGAAUCCCAUUACACUCCUGGAAAGGCAUCAAGACCCAAAGUGACUCCUUUCAUCAAAAUAUUUUGAAAUACACAAGAAGAAGUUUAACUUGAGAAAAAAUGGACUGCAUUUUAAAGGAGAAUAGAUCAUUCAUCAAAUAAAGGGCUGUAUGCAGGGGCUUAGCCUUGGUAUCACAUGGCUUGGAGAAAAAGACCCUUACAGAUUUACCAAAGCCAGCAGACUCCAACAAGUCUCCUAAAAACUCUACACUGGGUUAUUGAGUUUGUUUGUUAAUUUGGUAAAUAGUGUGUUCAUUUGUGCCUUUUAAUUUAAGUGUGACUUUUUUCAUUUUUGGCAUGAAGUGACCAUGCAAUGUGGAAUAAAUGUGGCCCUUUAAUCUCAUUGGAGCUGCAUAUGGUGCUAUGAAUUAUACAUAUACUCCAGCAUGGAUGUGAUUGUGAAUGCUCCCUCGGAGGUAAUCUGCUGUCCCAAUGUCCUGCUGGAACCUAAGCGCAAAGACCGGAAUUUAUUUGAGGCCCGUUUUGUUAAGUUAUCCAACGUCGAUUUCUUUCUCCUUUUCAAUGUUUUGCUUGAAAAGAUGUUUAAUUUAGGGUCCUGACGGUUGCUUGAUUUGACGUGACAGUUGGCACAGUUUUGAAUGUGCUUAUAUUCCACGAAGUGCUACCAUGUGGAAAAGCUUGAUAGGAUGCUGAUGUGUGUGCAUGUAAAACUCACAAGGGGAGUGGUCCAGGGGCAAUCAAGCAGAAAGAACCCCCAGUGACGAAAUCUUCGAGUGAGUGAAGGAGAACAAUCUCAGCCUUAAGGUUCUGCAGUGGAGCUCGUGGUGAAGAGUAAUUGGUCAAUCAGAUCUUCAACUUCAAGGCUACUGAUGGCUGAUUGAAGGUGUGAUUUCUGUUCUGCCCAUCAAAGUCAAAGGAUCAUCCCUGCUGAAAAAAGCUACUGAGAUCCAUUUCCUAGGUCUCUGUGCCAGCUUUCUAAGUGAACUCAAAGUGUAAUACAUAUUUUACUUGGUGGUUUGCUGUUACAACACGUUUUACCUGAAAGAUCCCCUUGGGUUUGGACAUGUUCAGCUUGAUAUGGUAUAAAUUCUAAACAGUUGUGCACGACUGAAGUGAAAUACCUAGAAAGCUUACAGCCAAACCUUACCUUGCAACGUCAAUCAACUUAAGCCCCAGAGUUGUGUUUGUCAUCGUGCUGCAUUGCGGGUGCUGAGUGUGACAUUUGAGCUCUCUGCUCAAUUGCUUCUGUAGAGAAACAACGUUCUUGAGAGAAAGUGACAGCCAAAGACGUCCUGUUGUUGAACAUCAAAGUUGUGCCUUGUUCUCUUCUAUGUUGUACUUAUGAAGCCACCAUAUCUAAGGUUUUCUGUAGACUUUUGAGCAUUAGAUGGCUUUGAUCUGCACACACUGUAAAUAUUAUUCCUGAUGUCAAGUCUAAACUGGUGUACUUUGCAUUAAUUAAUCACAUACCAGGUGACAUCCCCACUUACUCUUUAACAUCACAGAGCUUUUUACUUUGCCUCUCUUUUUGGGUCAGUUGCAGUGUUAGACUAAACGGAGACCAAACUCUGACAGAUUGUGGUUAUACCCUAAGCAGUGCCCUGGGAGACACAUGUCGCGGUGCAAAAGCUUUGUUCUUUGCUUUGUGUGUGGCACAGUUAUAUCACUAACACUUCACACUGGGACCACGGAGAAGAGACUAUCUUAGCUUCUGCUUCCCUGAAAAUGGUGUGGAAAAGGGAGAGUUCCUGAAAAACCACCUUAGGGCCUUUGCUCUCUUUUUUCGGUGUCCCUUGGUAUUGUCUAAAAUAGAAAGAAGGAGCAUAGAGAAAUGAUGAAGAGGAAAAAAAGGCAGGCAGAGGAAAGAGGGAGGUGGGUGAUGGGGUUGUCUUAGCCUUCAUGCACUAGGCAAGCAGAUUUAGACUAAGUGUCAACUAGAAAAACAGCCAUUGUGAUAUAGUCCCGCUCACCCCCACGCCACUAGACUUUACAGUCAAUAGAGCUAGUCCACUUGUCACCAAAGGACAAUGCGCCCCCUUUCCUUCCUUUCAGGCCUGCCGGGUCCGAGCAGCCAGACAGUUUUCUGAAUACAACCCAGUGAUUCUUGCCCCCUUUUCUCUUCCUCCCUUUCUCUUGAUGGAACACACCAACAGGGCUUGGAAAAUGGCUUCACUGUUGGGCCAGAGGGCAAAGCCAGACCUUGUUGUUUUCUCCAACAUUGGCAGUCCCUCCACCCCUCUAUGCUCACAGAGAAAUGAAUGUAUCUAAGGCAGUUGCAAAGUCAAUGGGCCUCACCAGACAAAGGAGAUUAAGUUUGGCAACUUGGCAGUAACAGGUGUACUUUGACUGAGCUCAGACCACACGGAGGGUAGCUGCUGUUGUCUGACUCGAUGUUCUGUUUGCCUCCCUAAUGGGACACAGAGAAAGAGGAAAUUUUUUACUGUCUUUUCAAAUAAUCCAAACCUUCUCGAGUAAGAAAGUAUUGCAUAAUGUGUAUUUGAUGUACCUGUCCACAGAGUAAGGCUUUGCUUUGCUUGUAUAUUUAGGUUUUGCUGUAUGAUUAGUAUGAUUUGCUGAGUUUUCUCCAAAGUCAGUCUUGUUAUGUCAGUACUGACCCAAAGGAAAUGUGUAUAUAGAGAACAACAAACUGACAGGGUAGCAUGGCACUGGUGAAGCUUUAGUUUCACUGUUUUCGGAACAGGAGUUAGUCCUUUCCUGUCCACACUUUCAGUACAUUCAAUGAAAAUAAAUCAAGCCAUUCAGUAACACUACAAAUACGAGACACUUUCAGAGCCAGAGGAAAACAGUGUGUGCAUUUGUUUGUUUCAGUCAUUAAUAAAGCUUUUACUGAGAGCCUCUGUAAAGCCCAUUCUGCUGAAAUGACUUGGCAAAGCAUCCGAUAGAGGGUCUGUUCAGACUGAAUCUGCCCUGGUUGCUAUUGUCUAGCUCUCUCUCACACACCUACGUGUCCAGAGUAAGCACACAAUUUCAUUGUUGUGUGAGCUGUUAAUAUCAGCGGCUUCACAAUAGAGCCCAUUCGCCAUAUUUGCAUAAGGCACUUUUCCAACAAGGGCCCAGAGAGGGCUUGAAAGCUGGCCCACUCCAGUGCCAAUGGCAAAAAAUGUCAAGUGCCAAUUAGGAGAGGUUUGCCAUCAUUCAGCAGUACCCCACCCCUGUAGUCCUUUCCCUCCCAGCUUACCCACCUCAACUCUCUCACACUCCAAGUCACCCCUGGUUUCACCACUUCAUUCUAGUUUCAGAUGUUGCCUUCCUCCUCUGACACCUAGAAACAAAAGCAUGCUCCCUCCUCUGCUGGCUAAUGGAAGAUCAUUUUUCUGCUGGGUUUAGAGUAUUAGCAAAAUGUCUGCUUUCUUUGUUGAUUACCUUGAAAAAGGGUUCACAAACUUUGCUGCUAAACCCAUGAGGCACAGCCUCCACCUGUGUGUGAAUGUUGAACUUAGAAAGCUGACUUAAUUAUGCCAGCAGGGUUUUACAUUCUCAAGCUUACAUGUGCAGGUGUGGGUUAUGGAAGUCUAUGGCAAAACAGAUGUUGAUUCAAAACAAUUAAGAAUGAAGUCCUUUCAUCUGGUAUGCUAGUGUGUGAUGGUGCUAAUAAUGCUUGCUUUAAGCUUCUCAUGCUUAUUAUUUUGCACCACACAGUUAUAGACGCAGAAAUUCUUAUUAUGAGAAAAGCUACUACCAGACUUUUCAAACUGAGAAUGCAAUCUUUGAGUUCCUUAAGAAGGCUACCAAAACUACAGCUGUUAUUUACAAGAACCGCAUAAAAUCCAGGUUAGCUGAACUAUAAUGUGCAUAAACUGAAAACCUGUAUAAUUAUACAGUUGUCAAAUAUGCAGAAAUAGUUCCACAUGUGCUUGACUACAAUGACAACAAUCUUGAACAACAAUCUAGAAAGCCAUCUGUGCUUUUGAAUUUAAGUAAGGUAGUGUCAAUGAAAGACAUACUUCCUUCAGAAUGAUGACGCUGGAGUAAAAAUUGAACAAAAAUGCAUCAUAGACAAAAUUAAAGAGACUAACUGCUUGCUGGCUGUUGUUUUUCACAGAUCGUUUACCUAUCGCGCAGCCUCCUGCCACUCGAAUGGAUUUUUCUCUCGUCCCUGUUUCUCUUUCAUUCUUUCAUUCAGUCUCUGUGUCGAGUUUUUUUUUUCCUUUCCCACCCUUGAUUCUCAGAUGGUUGGAUCUGAUUUGCAUGCAUUUGCAUAAUGAAAGUCAUUUGCAUGCUCAGGGGCAGACUGUACCAUGAGAACAGACAUGAAAAGGUGUGUGUGUGCAUGUGCAGGGGUGUGUGUGCGUAUGCAUGCAUUAGUGUGUAUGCAUAAGUUGCUUCAUAUGCUUCUGUAAAACUGUCCAUAAUUGUUUUGAUGGCUUAACUACAUUGUUAACAUUUACCAGUAACACCCCGUGUCCCUGUUCUCUUUGCAGGGUACCUUACCAAAUAGAGAAAAGAUGGCAAAAGAAAACUGAAAACAGAAGAGGAGGAGGGGUUGCUGUUGAUUGUGCCCUCCCUCUCUCAUCGCCCUCUUCUGCAUCGCCUCUUCCCACCUCCUCCUCUUCUCUUUCUCCUCCACACCAUCCUCAGCAGACUGCCCCUUUUUCCUGUACAGCGAAAUGCAGCCCACGCCACCAUCUUAGAGCAACGCUGGCAUAAAAUGGAAGUGGAAAGACCAGUCACUGCAGAUAAACGUUGGUGGUCACGGGGUUCCAGAAUGGACAGAACAUACAAUGGGGAGACAGCAGGACUCCUCUUUCACAGCUUGCUGCCAUUCAGCUGAUGUAAACAAGGAUGCUGCUGUCUGUGUGCAACUUGAUGGAUCUUGUUUCCAUGUCUGUGGGACACUUUGACCCACAUGGAUGUUUUGUGAAGACCUUUUGGUGAUUUAGCUGCAAAAAUUUAAUUUUGAACAGUGGCUGUGGAAUCCUGUGUGCUAAGAAAGAUGAUGCAUAGCACUAUAAUGCUGCGAUUGAUUUUUUUUUUUUUGCAUGUUGUAUACGUCUGUACAUAAUAUUAUACAGACAAGCAGUGUAUUUCUAUAGCUAACAUAUAGGCUCUCCCUUAUAUAGGUUGCUUUCAAUUUGAGUUUUAGCCCUCGCUGAUGUUCAGUUUGAUGUUUUGUUUUAGUUGCUAGGACUCAAAAGACACGUGAAUGUGAGACCCACGACAGCAGUGAAUAAUACUGCACUGCGAUUGGACAGCUCCGUGUGUCGGCUGACACAAUGGCGAAGGAGAGAGCUGUCGUCUUUAUACUCUAUGCAACUGUUCUGUCUGUUUUGGUUUUGUUUUGGGCAGAGCCUUUUUUAUCUACACUUUGGAUUUUUCUUUAUGGGCUAACAAUUAAUGGACAUUCCUUCAUACAUUAUCAAGACAAAUUGUGCUUUAUCCAGAAGCGUACGUUCCUAAUUUUUAUAUGUAAAAACUGUAAUUAGAGGAGGUGUGUGUCAUAUUUGAUUGGUAAUUACAUUUUAAAGCCUGGAAAAAAAUCUUUGUGAAUAAAUGUGGAAUCAAAUAUAUAAUAUUCCUGAUGGCAGUAGUGUGUUUGAUCAGGAGGAAGUGAAACAUUGCUGCUGUGUGUAUGUUUCCUCUGAGGCACAUUAGUUUGCCUCAUAACAGUUACCUGUGCUGCUAUAAUGAUACAUCUUUGGGUAAGACAUGACAAAUACAUUGGCUUCAAACACUGCCUUAAUUUCCUGUUCACACACAAAUGCACACACACAGAUCCCAGUGCAAUAACACAAGUACCAUUGCAGCUUAAUUCAUUUUAUAUUAAUUUUCGGAAAGUGGAUUUUUUUUUAUUAUUAUGAUUGAUAAUCUAUGCAAAUCUUUUAAAGUAUUACUUUAAACAAUCUAUGCACUGCUCUUCUGCUCUUGCAUUUGAUUCAAGGGAGACUGUCUUGGCCUAAUUUAGAAAAUGUAUUCUUUUGAUAAUCAUGCACAUCCCAGUGCUCGAGACAAUUACUUAUCUGCCUGGAUAAGCUUGAAAUUAUGUUUUUAAUCUUUUGCAAAAAAAAGUCUCUCUUCUAAUAUCAGUUGAGAGGCAUAAAAACCAUGAUUUCUGGUGUGAAAUAAUUAAAUCACUAUCACUUAAUAUCCUUGCUUUUUUUUAAAUGCAAAUGUAAUUUAUCUGUUUAGCUUAUUUUUUUUUGGAAGAUGUAUGUUUGUGUUAUGCAACUUGUGUAUAAGUGCUCACCACAUGUGCCUUUGUAUGCAAAUCUGUAUUAGAAUAGUAAUAAAGGUUUACAUUGAAAACAAUGAAAA
Molecule: long non-coding RNA, 8043 nt
Organism: Xiphophorus maculatus (southern platyfish)
Lineage: Eukaryota; Metazoa; Chordata; Actinopteri; Cyprinodontiformes; Poeciliidae
Exons: 3
Source: RefSeq, a predicted model, not a curated record